RNAcentral lists this ribosomal RNA (497 nucleotides) under uncultured bacterium. RNAcentral describes it as "partial 16S ribosomal RNA". It matches the Rfam family "Bacterial small subunit ribosomal RNA", at positions 28 to 507 of the family's 1533-position model. The record is from RNAcentral.
GACGAACGCUGGCGGCGUGCCUAAUACAUGCAAGUUGAGCGCUGAAGGUUGGUACUUGUACCAACUGGAUGAGCAGCGAACGGGUGAGUAACGCGUGGGGAAUCUGCCUUUGAGCGGGGGACAACAUUUGGAAACGAAUGCUAAUACCGCAUAAAAACUUUAAACACAAGUUUUAAGUUUGAAAGAUGCAAUUGCAUCACUCAAAGAUGAUCCCGCGUUGUAUUAGCUAGUUGGUGAGGUAAAGGCUCACCAAGGCGAUGAUACAUAGCCGACCUGAGAGGGUGAUCGGCCACAUUGGGACUGAGACACGGCCCAAACUCCUACGGGAGGCAGCAGUAGGGAAUCUUCGGCAAUGGACGAAAGUCUGACCGAGCAACGCCGCGUGAGUGAAGAAGGUUUUCGGAUCGUAAAACUCGGUUGGUAGAGAAGAACGUUGGUGGGAGUGGAAAGCUCAUCAAGUGACGGUAACUACCCAGAAAGGGACGGCUAACUACGUG